AGGGAAUCUUCCGCAAUGGGCGAAAGCCUGACGGAGCAACGCCGCGUGAGUGAUUAAGGUCUUCGGAUCGUAAAACUCUGUUAUUAGGGAAGAACAAAUGUGUAAGUAACUAUGCACGUCUUGACGGUACCUAAUCAGAAAGCCACGGCUAACUACGUGCCAGCAGCCGCGGUAAUACGUAGGUGGCAAGCGUUAUCCGGAAUUAUUGGGCGUAAAGCGCGCGUAGGCGGUUUUUUAAGUCUGAUGUGAAAGCCCACGGCUCAACCGUGGAGGGUCAUUGGAAACUGGAAAACUUGAGUGCAGAAGAGGAAAGUGGAAUUCCAUGUGUAGCGGUGAAAUGCGCAGAGAUAUGGAGGAACACCAGUGGCGAAGGCGACUUUCUGGUCUGUAACUGACGCUGAUGUGCGAAAGCGUGGGGAUCAAACAGGAUUAGAUACCCUGGUAGUCCACGCCGUAAACGAUGAGUGCUAAGUGUUAGGGGGUUUCCGCCCCUUAGUGCUGCAGCUAACGCAUUAAGCACUCCGCCUGGGGAGUACGACCGCAAGGUUG
Molecule: ribosomal RNA, 549 nt
Filed under: uncultured bacterium
Lineage: Bacteria
Description: bacterial SSU rRNA
Rfam family: Bacterial small subunit ribosomal RNA
Source: RNAcentral